This 653-nucleotide ribosomal RNA is filed under the name Debaryomyces hansenii. RNAcentral's name for it is "eukaryotic LSU rRNA". The stretch from base 243 to 396 matches the Rfam family "5.8S ribosomal RNA". Lineage: Eukaryota; Fungi; Ascomycota; Pichiomycetes; Serinales; Debaryomycetaceae. The record is from RNAcentral.
CGUAACAAGGUUUCCGUAGGUGAACCUGCGGAAGGAUCAUUACAGUAUUCUUUUUGCCAGCGCUUAAUUGCGCGGCGAAAAAACCUUACACACAGUGUUUUUUGUUAUUACAAGAACUCUUGCUUUGGUCUGGACUAGAAAUAGUUUGGGCCAGAGGUUUACUAAACUAAACUUCAAUAUUUAUAUUGAAUUGUUAUUUAUUUUAAUUGUCAAUUUGUUGAUUAAAUUCAAAAAAUCUUCAAAACUUUCAACAACGGAUCUCUUGGUUCUCGCAUCGAUGAAGAACGCAGCGAAAUGCGAUAAGUAAUAUGAAUUGCAGAUUUUCGUGAAUCAUCGAAUCUUUGAACGCACAUUGCGCCCUUUGGUAUUCCAAAGGGCAUGCCUGUUUGAGCGUCAUUUCUCUCUCAAACCUUCGGGUUUGGUAUUGAGUGAUACUCUUAGUCGAACUAGGCGUUUGCUUGAAAUGUAUUGGCAUGAGUGGUACUGGAUAGUGCUAUAUGACUUUCAAUGUAUUAGGUUUAUCCAACUCGUUGAAUAGUUUAAUGGUAUAUUUCUCGGUAUUCUAGGCUCGGCCUUACAAUAUAACAAACAAGUUUGACCUCAAAUCAGGUAGGACUACCCGCUGAACUUAAGCAUAUCAUAGCCGGAAGGAA